Long non-coding RNA from Solea solea (common sole), 287 nucleotides. RefSeq lists it as uncharacterized. The transcript is spliced from 3 exons. The record is from RefSeq and is a predicted model, not a curated record. NCBI's taxonomy places the organism in Eukaryota, Metazoa, Chordata, Actinopteri, Pleuronectiformes, Soleidae.
UGCACACAUGUAUGAUCAGACAUUCAAAGGUUUGCAGCCUUGAACAAGUGAACUGCACUAAAAUCAAUACCUAUAGAACGAUUGAAAAACAUCUACACAAGGAAAAAAGGGGAAUUAAUAUCUUUUUUUAUAUCAAUUCAUUUGGGAUUUGUCGAAAAGAUGGGUGCCAUACUCCUCAUUCUUUUCCUCAUUGCAAGUGCAGCAACAACUACAGCAGAAAACACAACAACACCAGUCGCAACAACCCCUGCUGCAGCAGCAACAACUACAACACCAGUCACAACAAC